UACAGAGGGUGCAAGCGUUGUUCGGAAUUAUUGGGCGUAAAGCGCGUGUAGGCGGCUUAGCAAGUCGGGCGUGAAAGCCCUCGGCUCAACCGUGGAAGUGCCCCCGAUACUGCUUGUCUUGAGGGAGAUAGGGGCGUGCGGAACUUCCGGUGGAGCGGUGAAAUGCGUAGAUAUCGGAAGGAACACCGGUGGCGAAGGCGGGUCUCUGGGCAGUAACUGACGCUGAGGAGCGAAAGCGUGGGGAGCGAACAGG
Molecule: ribosomal RNA, 253 nt
Filed under: uncultured bacterium
Lineage: Bacteria
Description: partial 16S ribosomal RNA
Rfam family: Bacterial small subunit ribosomal RNA
Source: RNAcentral